This 1522-nucleotide ribosomal RNA is filed under the name metagenome. RNAcentral's name for it is "bacterial SSU rRNA". It matches the Rfam family "Bacterial small subunit ribosomal RNA". The record is from RNAcentral.
AGAGUUUGAUCAUGGCUCAGGACGAACGCUGGCGGCGUGCCUAAUACAUGCAAGUCGAACGAAGCUUUCUUUCACCGAAUGCUUACAUUCACCGAAAGAAGCUUAGUGGCGAACGGGUGAGUAACACGUAGGCAACCUGCCCAAAAGAGGGGGAUAACACUUGGAAACAGGUGCUAAUACCGCAUAACCAUGAACACCGCAUGAUGUUCAUGUAAAAGACGGCUUUUGCUGUCACUUUUGGAUGGGCCUGCGGCGUAUUAACUUGUUGGUGGGGUAACGGCCUACCAAGGUGAUGAUACGUAGCCGAACUGAGAGGUUGAUCGGCCACAUUGGGACUGAGACACGGCCCAAACUCCUACGGGAGGCAGCAGUAGGGAAUCUUCCACAAUGGACGAAAGUCUGAUGGAGCAACGCCGCGUGAAUGAAGAAGGCCUUCGGGUCGUAAAAUUCUGUUGUCAGAGAAGAACGUGCGUGAGAGUAACUGUUCACGUAUUGACGGUAUCUGACCAGAAAGCCACGGCUAACUACGUGCCAGCAGCCGCGGUAAUACGUAGGUGGCGAGCGUUGUCCGGAUUUAUUGGGCGUAAAGGGAACGCAGGCGGUCUUUUAAGUCUGAUGUGAAAGCCUUCGGCUUAACCGAAGUAGUGCAUUGGAAACUGGAAGACUUGAGUGCAGAAGAGGAGAGUGGAACUCCAUGUGUAGCGGUGAAAUGCGUAGAUAUAUGGAAGAACACCAGUGGCGAAAGCGGCUCUCUGGUCUGUAACUGACGCUGAGGUUCGAAAGCGUGGGUAGCAAACAGGAUUAGAUACCCUGGUAGUCCACGCCGUAAACGAUGAGUGCUAAGUGUUGGAGGGUCUCCGCCCUUCAGUGCUGCAGCUAACGCAUUAAGCACUCCGCCUGGGGAGUACGGUCGCAAGACUGAAACUCAAAGGAAUUGACGGGGGCCCGCACAAGCGGUGGAGCAUGUGGUUUAAUUCGAAGCAACGCGAAGAACCUUACCAGGUCUUGACAUCUUCUGACAAUUCCAGAGAUGGAACGUUCCCUUCGGGGACAGAAUGACAGGUGGUGCAUGGUUGUCGUCAGCUCGUGUCGUGAGAUGUUGGGUUAAGUCCCGCAACGAGCGCAACCCUUAUCUUUAGUAGCCAGCGGUUUGGCCGGGCACUCUAGAGAGACUGCCAGGGAUAACCUGGAGGAAGGCGGGGAUGACGUCAAAUCAUCAUGCCCCUUAUGACUUGGGCUACACACGUGCUACAAUGGCGUAAACAAAGGGAAGCAAAGCUGUGAAGCCGAGCAAAUCUCAAAAAUAACGUCUCAGUUCGGACUGUAGUCUGCAACCCGACUACACGAAGCUGGAAUCGCUAGUAAUCGCAGAUCAGAAUGCUGCGGUGAAUACGUUCCCGGGUCUUGUACACACCGCCCGUCACACCAUGGGAGUUGGGAAUGCCCGAAGCCAGUGACCUAACCGAAAGGAAGGAGCUGUCGAAGGCAGGCUCGAUAACUGGGGUGAAGUCGUAACAAGGUA